This 345-nucleotide ribosomal RNA is filed under the name Triticum aestivum (bread wheat). RNAcentral's name for it is "partial small subunit ribosomal RNA". Lineage: Eukaryota; Viridiplantae; Streptophyta; Magnoliopsida; Poales; Poaceae. The record is from RNAcentral.
AUGCCCGCGCCAUGCCGCCGGCCGCUGCUCGCGCCAGGCUGUGCCUCCUCCACCCCCGCCGCGCCGGGACUUGGUCACCGGCCGGUCUCGGCUUCUCCACCGCUGCGCCGCUCGGAGCACGCCUCCGUCCCUGGCGUGGCUGUUGUCAAUGGCGAUGGAUGCGGUGCGCGGCUCCCUCCCGUGCGAUGCAUCGGCCUUUGGGCUCGAUGCGGCCGUGGCCCUUGGCCCCGACGACAAGAGCAUCUUCGCUCUCUAACGGCUAGUCAUAGCGGGAGUAACUUAGAUAGUAACAUAGCGCAUUUCGAUUUUUUUUUGCUUAUGUGGCAUGUAGUUAACGAGAAGUAA